UGCUCCAAUAAAUAACUUAUGAUACCUCAAAAUGCCCCAAGAUGUCUAUAAAGCUAUAAUAUACUCCAUAAUAAUCCAAAUAUCACCAUUGCUUUUCAAAAUAUCCUCCAAAGCUCCAAGUCUUCCAAAAACUCUAAAAUCAACCUUGUCAUCUUGCACCAUCAAUCCAAAUAACCACAUACAAAAUCCAAUACCUUCCACCCCAAAUGUUCACGUCGGAUUCACCACUUAUGUCGUA
Molecule: long non-coding RNA, 238 nt
Filed under: Physcomitrium patens
Lineage: Eukaryota; Viridiplantae; Streptophyta; Bryopsida; Funariales; Funariaceae
Description: long non-coding RNA (PPAT_LNC013071)
Source: RNAcentral